Hordeum vulgare subsp. vulgare (domesticated barley) is the source of this 136-nucleotide non-coding RNA. The record is from Rfam. Lineage: Eukaryota; Viridiplantae; Streptophyta; Magnoliopsida; Poales; Poaceae.
CAAAUACUCCCUCUGUCUCAAAAUUCUUGUUUUAGGUUUGUCUAAAAAUAAAUGUACUUAAAUGCUAAAACAUGACUAGAUACAUUUAUAUCUAGACAAAUCUAAGACGAGAAUUUUAAGACGAAAGGAGUAUUAU